UGUGGGAGCGAGCCUGCUCGCGAUGCAAACGAUGCGGUAUUUCUGAACGUCCGCAUUGAUGCCAUCGCGAGCAGGCUCGCUCCCACA
This 87-nucleotide unclassified non-coding RNA is filed under the name Pseudomonas psychrophila. The record is from RNAcentral. Lineage: Bacteria; Pseudomonadati; Pseudomonadota; Gammaproteobacteria; Pseudomonadales; Pseudomonadaceae.